Molecule: transfer RNA, 73 nt
Filed under: Clonostachys compactiuscula
Lineage: Eukaryota; Fungi; Ascomycota; Sordariomycetes; Hypocreales; Bionectriaceae
Description: tRNA-Lys
Rfam family: tRNA
About the family: Transfer RNA (tRNA) molecules are approximately 80 nucleotides in length. Their secondary structure includes four short double-helical elements and three loops (D, anti-codon, and T loops).
Source: RNAcentral
GAGACUUUAGUAUAAUGGUUAUUACAUAUGACUUUUAAUCAUCCAGACAUUGGUUCAAAUCCAGUAAGUCUUA